This 253-nucleotide ribosomal RNA is filed under the name uncultured bacterium. RNAcentral's name for it is "partial 16S ribosomal RNA". It matches the Rfam family "Bacterial small subunit ribosomal RNA", at positions 524 to 776 of the family's 1533-position model. The record is from RNAcentral.
UACAGAGGUCUCAAGCGUUGUUCGGAUUCAUUGGGCGUAAAGGGUGCGUAGGUGGCGUCGUAAGUCAGGUGUGAAAUCUCGGAGCUUAACUCCGAAACUGCAUUUGAUACUGCGGUGCUUGAGGACUGGAGAGGAGACUGGAAUUUACGGUGUAGCAGUGAAAUGCGUAGAGAUCGUAAGGAACACCAGUGGCGAAGGCGGCCGCCUGGACCUGACCUGACGCUGAGGCGCGAAGGCGCGGGGAGCGAACGGG